GUCCACGCCGUAAACGAUGGGUGCUAGCCGUCGGGCAGCAUGCUGUUCGGUGGUGCAGCUAACGCAUUAAGCACCCCGCCUGGGGAGUACGGCCGCAAGGUUAAAACUCAAAGGAAUUGACGGGGGCCCGCACAAGCGGUGGAGCAUGUGGUUUAAUUCGAGGCAACGCGAAGAACCUUACCAGCCCUUGACAUCCUGGUCGCGGAUUCGAGAGAUCGAUUCCUUCAGUUCGGCUGGACCAGU
Molecule: ribosomal RNA, 243 nt
Filed under: uncultured bacterium
Lineage: Bacteria
Description: partial 16S ribosomal RNA
Rfam family: Bacterial small subunit ribosomal RNA
Source: RNAcentral